This 1454-nucleotide ribosomal RNA is filed under the name uncultured organism. Its description in RNAcentral is "SSU rRNA". It matches the Rfam family "Bacterial small subunit ribosomal RNA". The record is from RNAcentral.
UGAACGCUAGCUACAGGCUUAACACAUGCAAGUCGAGGGGCAUCAGGAAGAAAGCUUGCUUUCUUUGCUGGCGACCGGCGCACGGGUGAGUAACACGUAUCCAACCUGCCCUUUACUCGGGGAUAGCCUUUCGAAAGAAAGAUUAAUACCCGAUGGCAUAAUGAUUCCGCAUGGUUUCAUUAUUAAAGGAUUCCGGUAAAGGAUGGGGAUGCGUUCCAUUAGGUUGUUGGUGAGGUAACGGCUCACCAAGCCUUCGAUGGAUAGGGGUUCUGAGAGGAAGGUCCCCCACAUUGGAACUGAGACACGGUCCAAACUCCUACGGGAGGCAGCAGUGAGGAAUAUUGGUCAAUGGGCGCUAGCCUGAACCAGCCAAGUAGCGUGAAGGAUGAAGGCUCUAUGGGUCGUAAACUUCUUUUAUAUAAGAAUAAAGUGCAGUAUGUAUACUGUUUUGUAUGUAUUAUAUGAAUAAGGAUCGGCUAACUCCGUGCCAGCAGCCGCGGUAAUACGGAGGAUCCGAGCGUUAUCCGGAUUUAUUGGGUUUAAAGGGAGCGUAGGUGGACUGGUAAGUCAGUUGUGAAAGUUUGCGGCUCAACCGUAAAAUUGCAGUUGAUACUGUCAGUCUUGAGUACAGUAGAGGUGGGCGGAAUUCGUGGUGUAGCGGUGAAAUGCUUAGAUAUCACGAAGAACUCCGAUUGCGAAGGCAGCUCACUGGACUGCAACUGACACUGAUGCUCGAAAGUGUGGGUAUCAAACAGGAUUAGAUACCCUGGUAGUCCACACAGUAAACGAUGAAUACUCGCUGUUUGCGAUAUACAGUAAGCGGCCAAGCGAAAGCAUUAAGUAUUCCACCUGGGGAGUACGCCGGCAACGGUGAAACUCAAAGGAAUUGACGGGGGCCCGCACAAGCGGAGGAACAUGUGGUUUAAUUCGAUGAUACGCGAGGAACCUUACCCGGGCUUAAAUUGCAGUGGAAUGAUGUGGAAACAUGUCAGUGAGCAAUCACCGCUGUGAAGGUGCUGCAUGGUUGUCGUCAGCUCGUGCCGUGAGGUGUCGGCUUAAGUGCCAUAACGAGCGCAACCCUUAUCUUUAGUUACUAACAGGUUAUGCUGAGGACUCUAGAGAGACUGCCGUCGUAAGAUGUGAGGAAGGUGGGGAUGACGUCAAAUCAGCACGGCCCUUACGUCCGGGGCUACACACGUGUUACAAUGGGGGGUACAGAAGGCAGCUAGCGGGUGACCGUAUGCUAAUCCCAAAAGCCUCUCUCAGUUCGGAUCGAAGUCUGCAACCCGACUUCGUGAAGCUGGAUUCGCUAGUAAUCGCGCAUCAGCCACGGCGCGGUGAAUACGUUCCCGGGCCUUGUACACACCGCCCGUCAAGCCAUGGGAGCCGGGGGUACCUGAAGUACGUAACCGCAAGGAUCGUCCUAGGGUAAAACUGGUGACUGGGGCUAAGUC